RNAcentral lists this ribosomal RNA (478 nucleotides) under uncultured bacterium. RNAcentral's name for it is "SSU rRNA". It matches the Rfam family "Bacterial small subunit ribosomal RNA", at positions 26 to 523 of the family's 1533-position model. The record is from RNAcentral.
AGGAUGAACGCUGGCGGCGUGCCUAACACAUGCAAGUCGAACGUCCUGUCUCGCAAGAGGCAGGGAGUGGCGGACGGGUGAGUACCACGUGGGUCAUCUACCGUGAGGUGAGGAAUACCGGCGAGAAAUCGCCGACAAGACCGCAUAGCCUCGGUGCAAGUCGAGGAAAGCUCUCUCGAGAGAGGGAGCGCCACACGAGGAGCCUGCGCCCGAUUAGCUAGCUGGUGGAGUAACGGUUCACCAGGGCGACGAUCGGUAGCUGGUCUGAGAGGACGAUCAGCCACACUGGGAUUGAGAACGGCCCAGACUCCUACGGGGGGCAGCAGUGAGGAAUUUUCGUCAAUGGGGGCAACCCUGAACGAGCAACGCCGCGUGCAGGAAGAAGGUUUUCGGAUCGUAAACUGCUUUUCUCGGGGAAGAGAACGGACGGUACCCGAGGAAUCAGCCCCGGCUAACUACGUGCCAGCAGCCGCGGUAA